RNAcentral lists this ribosomal RNA (822 nucleotides) under uncultured Neisseria sp. Its description in RNAcentral is "bacterial SSU rRNA". It matches the Rfam family "Bacterial small subunit ribosomal RNA", at positions 54 to 865 of the family's 1533-position model. Lineage: Bacteria; Pseudomonadati; Pseudomonadota; Betaproteobacteria; Neisseriales; Neisseriaceae. The record is from RNAcentral.
CAUGCAAGUCGGACGGCAGCACAGAGAAGCUUGCUUCUUGGGUGGCGAGUGGCGAACGGGUGAGUAACAUAUCGGAACGUACCGAGCAGUGGGGGAUAACUAAUCGAAAGAUUAGCUAAUACCGCAUGUAUUCUGAGGAAGAAAGCAGGGGACCAUUUGGCCUUGCGCUGUUUGAGCGGCCGAUAUCUGAUUAGCUAGUUGGUGGGGUAAAGGCCUACCAAGGCGACGAUCAGUAGCGGGUCUGAGAGGAUGAUCCGCCACACUGGGACUGAGACACGGCCCAGACUCCUACGGGAGGCAGCAGUGGGGAAUUUUGGACAAUGGGCGCAAGCCUGAUCCAGCCAUGCCGCGUGUCUGAAGAAGGCCUUCGGGUUGUAAAGGACUUUUGUCAGGGAAGAAAAGGGCGGGGUUAAUACCCCUGUCUGAUGACGGUACCUGAAGAAUAAGCACCGGCUAACUACGUGCCAGCAGCCGCGGUAAUACGUAGGGUGCGAGCGUUAAUCGGAAUUACUGGGCGUAAAGCGGGCGCAGACGGUUACUUAAGCAGGAUGUGAAAUCCCCGGGCUCAACCUGGGAACUGCGUUCUGAACUGGGUGACUAGAGUGUGUCAGAGGGAGGUAGAAUUCCACGUGUAGCAGUGAAAUGCGUAGAGAUGUGGAGGAAUACCGAUGGCGAAGGCAGCCUCCUGGGAUAACACUGACGUUCAUGCCCGAAAGCGUGGGUAGCAAACAGGAUUAGAUACCCUGGUAGUCCACGCCCUAAACGAUGUCGAUUAGCUGUUGGGCAGCAUGACUGCUUAGUAGCGAAGCUAACGCGUGAAGU